GAGCCGGCCGGGCGGCCGCGCCGGACGCCCUCGGGCGUGCGGUGAGGAAAGUCCGGACUCCACAGAGCACGGUGGUGGCCAACAGCCACCCACGGUGACGUGCGGGACAGUGCCACAGAGAACAGACCGCCAACGGCCUGCGCCCUCGGGUGCAGGUGCGGGCAAGGGUGAAACGGUGAGGUAAGAGCUCACCAGCGGCCUCGGUGACGGGGCCGGCUCGGUAAACCCCACCGGGAGCUAGACCAAGAGGGCGCCUCGGCGCCUGCGCUGACGGGCUGCUCGUCCAUGGGUCAGCGGGUAGGUCGCACCGAGCGGCGCAGCGAUGCGCCGCCCAGAUGGAUGGUCGCCCAGCGCCUUCGGGCGUGGACAGAAUCCGGCUUACAGGCCGGCUCAU
This 394-nucleotide RNase P RNA is filed under the name Aeromicrobium massiliense. RNAcentral's name for it is "Bacterial RNase P class A". It matches the Rfam family "Bacterial RNase P class A". Rfam says of the family: Ribonuclease P (RNase P) is a ubiquitous endoribonuclease, found in archaea, bacteria and eukarya as well as chloroplasts and mitochondria. Its best characterised activity is the generation of mature 5'-ends of tRNAs by cleaving the 5'-leader elements of precursor-tRNAs. The record is from RNAcentral. Lineage: Bacteria; Bacillati; Actinomycetota; Actinomycetes; Propionibacteriales; Nocardioidaceae.